RNA transcript from Ziziphus jujuba (common jujube), 2336 nucleotides. It is a transcript of the gene named beta-1,6-galactosyltransferase GALT29A, with no coding region annotated. The record is from RefSeq and is a predicted model, not a curated record. The transcript is spliced from 3 exons. NCBI's taxonomy places the organism in Eukaryota, Viridiplantae, Streptophyta, Magnoliopsida, Rosales, Rhamnaceae.
ACUAACAACCAUUUCUAAUUUACGCCUGUUGCAUUCCCAGAAUUCACAGAGCAGUGUAGCUCUCCAAAAUUCACUAAUCCAAUCCUUUUUUUUAUUUUUUUAAUUAGUUAUUCCUAUUUACUAGAUCCUUGGCACUGCUUUGCUUCUUUCCAGCUCAAUCUCUCCCAGAUUCCCCCUCAUACCCUUUACCCCUCAUUGCCACUUCUGCUGUUCUUAUUCUUCUUCAUUUUUUUUUUAAUUUUUUGCGGGGUGGGGGAUGCAUUGGAGCUUCAGGAGGAAAGCAACCACCAAGAAUCAAGAUCUGUGCUUUACCUACCAUUUUGCUUUUUACUCCCACUGCAACUGUUCUUCAAUGAAAAAACCAUUUCAUUGGCAAUAACCCAGAAUCCAAUUCCACCUCCCUUUGCAAUUUUCUGCUUCAAUUUCUCACUUUUUUAACCACCUCACUCUUUUCCCUCAAAACCCCCCGUACUUUACGCUUUCACUUUGCUGCCGCUCAGCUUCUCCUCUGCUUGUUCUAAGAGAGAAAGUCUCUCUCUCUCUCUCUCUCUCUCUCUCUCUCUCUAGCCACUCCAUAUUCGCUGAUAUAUUUCUCUUCUCUUGGAUGCCAAAAUCCAUCGGAGGAGGAGACGAAGAUGGAUCUGAUGGACAUAGCUCCAACUCCAAGAUCUGUGGGUUCUAUAAAUGGCCAUAUUUAGCAUCAGCAACACCCAUCGACACCUCCGGCGAGUUCUUUGUCUCGCCGACGAUGAAGCGUUCGGUUCGUCCUCUCUUCAGUGUUCUCCUCCUCAUCAUCUUUGCUGCCACGCUUACCACCCGAAAUGUGGUUCGCCGGAGCCUAGGCUCCACCGAGCUGGACGAUAAUAAUGUGGUGGUCCAAAUCACACCGAGGCCAGUUCUCAAUGCAACUCUGCUCAAAUACGCCGCCAUUGAUAUUGGAGAAGCUCGGUCCAAGCAAGAGAUAGAGCAACUGUUGGAAGGCAACUUUGGCAGUCUUGGCAGGUACAGGACUUUCGCUGCUUGGCGACGAUUCAAUCACCGUGACUUCCGAGCCAGAACCUCCAUGGGCACUCCUUUGCUGCUCCGCUCCCCGAAUUUCUACAGGUAUUGGUUGGAUUUCCGGAGGACCCUGCAAAAUUGGGUCAGAAACAAGAGGUUUCAACCCGACAUCAUGUCGGAGCUUGUUAAACUUGUUAAGCUUCCCAUUGACAAACACAAUGGCUUGGCGGGGUUGGACAACAAUCGCUUCUCUUCGUGCGCUGUUGUGGGGAAUAGUGGGAUUUUGUUGAAAAAUGAUUACGGAGAUUUGAUUGAUAAUCAUCAAGUAGUUAUUCGAUUGAACAAUGCUAAAACCGAAGGUUAUGAGCGCAAAGUUGGAUCCAAAACGAGCAUUUCGUUUGUAAACAGUAACAUUUUGCAUCUUUGCGCCAGAAGGGAAGGCUGUUUUUGCCAUCCUUACGGAGUGAAUGUCCCUAUUGUUAUGUAUAUUUGUCAGCCUUUGCAUUUCUUGGACUACACGAUAUGCAAUUCAUCCCAUAAAGCUCCAUUGUUGGUUACGGAUGCUCGGUUCGAUGUAUUGUGUGCUAGGAUUGUCAAGUAUUAUUCUUUGAAGAGGUUUGUGGAGGUGACUGGCAAGUCUUUGGAAGAAUGGGGAUCUGAACAUGAUGGUUCGAUGUUCCAUUACUCUUCUGGAAUGCAAGCUAUAAUGCUGGCUUUGGGAAUUUGUGACAGAGUUAGUGUUUUUGGGUUUGGGAAGUCGGAUUCGGCUAAGCAUCAUUAUCAUACUAAUCAGAAGGCAGAGCUUCAUUUGCAUGAUUAUGAGGCAGAGUAUGCUUUUUAUCAUGAUUUGGUGCAAAGACCACAGUUAGUAUGAAUGAAUGGCUUUGGACAAUAAGACAAGCUGGAUUUUAUUUGCAUCCAUUUCUCUGGUUUUCUAUGCAGCAAUGAGUGGCUUCGGACAGGACUGCUAUUCUUUUCGGUUUGCACAAGCUUGCACUGGUUUGAUUGCUGUUCAGUCUUUGUAUGAUACGGAAUACAUAUGUAAAGAUUAUUGUUGGUUUGAAAUGAUACGUUCAAUUCCUUCUACCUUGUCCACACCUGCAAGGAUAGUAUAAAAAAUGAACUCAAAAAUCCUGUUUAGCCAAAAAUAAAAAAUGUGUAUACUUCUUAGGAUCUUUUCUACUGGUCUAAUUAGUAUGCUUUGACUAUUUUGCUUUGACUAUUUUGUAAUCAAGAUUUACGUUGCUUUAUUUCUUACUGUAGCUUCACUACUGAAACCCCUGAAGCUUAUUGAAGUACGUUGGAUAUUCCAUUAUCACAAAAUUUGUUGGAAGCUC